Molecule: ribosomal RNA, 496 nt
Filed under: uncultured bacterium
Lineage: Bacteria
Description: partial 16S ribosomal RNA
Rfam family: Bacterial small subunit ribosomal RNA
Source: RNAcentral
GACGAACGCUGGCGGCGUGCCUAAUACAUGCAAGUAGAACGCUGAAGAGAGGAGCUUGCUCUUCUUGGAUGAGUUGCGAACGGGUGAGUAACGCGUAGGUAACCUGCCUUGUAGCGGGGGAUAACUAUUGGAAACGAUAGCUAAUACCGCAUAACAAUGGAUGACACAUGUCAUUUAUUUGAAAGGGGCAAUUGUUCCACUACAAGAUGGACCUGCGUUGUAUUAGCUAGUAGGUGAGGUAAUGGCUCACCUAGGCGACGAUACAUAGCCGACCUGAGAGGGUGAUCGGCCACACUGGGACUGAGACACGGCCCAGACUCCUACGGGAGGCAGCAGUAGGGAAUCUUCGGCAAUGGGGCAACCCUGACCGAGCAACGCCGCGUGAGUGAAGAAGGUUUUCGGAUCGUAAAGCUCUGUUGUAAGUCAAGAACGGGUGUGAGAGUGGAAAGUUCACACUGUGACGGUAGCUUACCAGAAAGGGACGGCUAACUACGUG